UCCCGCCUGCCCAGUGACUCUUUAAACGGCCGCGGUAUCCUAACCGUGCAAAGGUAGCAUAAUCACUUGUCCCCUAAAUAGGGACUAGAAUGAACGGCUAAAUGAGGACAAAACUGUCUCUUACGGAUUAACCAAUGAAAUUGAUCUUCCAGUACAAAAGCUGGAAUAAACCCAUAAGACGAGAAGACCCUGUGGAGCUUUAAAGCCAAAACCACUAAACAUGGCCCUUGGUUUUUUAGUUGGGGCGACUUUGGAGCAAAAAAAACCCUCCAAAACAUAAAUCCGUUCAUUAAGAAUAACACACCAAAAACAACUUUAUAGACCCAGCAAUAUUUUAUUGUCUGACCAAUGAACCAAGUUACCCCAGGGAUAACAGCGCCAUCCUCUUCUAGAGUCCUUAUCGACAAGAGGGUUUACGACCUCGAUGUUGGAUCAGGACACCCCUAUAGUGCAGCCGCUAUAAAAAGUUCGUUUGUUCAACGAUUAAAGUCCUACGUGAUCU
Molecule: ribosomal RNA, 502 nt
Filed under: Podarcis carbonelli (Carbonell's wall lizard)
Lineage: Eukaryota; Metazoa; Chordata; Lepidosauria; Squamata; Lacertidae
Description: partial 16S ribosomal RNA
Rfam family: Bacterial large subunit ribosomal RNA
Source: RNAcentral